RNAcentral lists this ribosomal RNA (433 nucleotides) under uncultured bacterium. Its description in RNAcentral is "partial 16S ribosomal RNA". It matches the Rfam family "Bacterial small subunit ribosomal RNA", at positions 29 to 507 of the family's 1533-position model. The record is from RNAcentral.
AACGAACGCUGGCGGCAUGCCUAACACAUGCAAGUCGAACGAGACCUUCGGGUCCAGUGGCGCACGGGUGCGUAACGCGUGGGAACCUGCCCUUAGGUUCGGAAUAACUCCCCGAAAGGGGUGCUAAUACCGGAUAAUGUCUUCGGACCAAAGAUUUAUCGCCUUUGGAUGGGCCCGCGUUGGAUUAGCUAGUUGGUAGGGUAAAAGCCUACCAAGGCGACGAUCCAUAGCUGGUCUGAGAGGAUGAUCAGCCACACUGGGACUGAGACACGGCCCAGACUCCUACGGGAGGCAGCAGUGGGGAAUAUUGGACAAUGGGCGAAAGCCUGAUCCAGCAAUGCCGCGUGAGUGAUGAAGGCCUUAGGGUUGUAAAACUCUUUUACCCGGGAUGAUAAUGACAGUACCGGGAGAAUAAGCUCCGGCUAACUCCGUG